AUUGAACGCUGGCGGCAUGCCUUACACAUGCAAGUCGAACGGCAGCACGGGAGCAAUCCUGGUGGCGAGUGGCGAACGGGUGAGUAAUAUAUCGGAACGUGCCCAGUCGUGGGGGAUAACGCAGCGAAAGCUGUGCUAAUACCGCAUACGAUCUACGGAUGAAAGCGGGGGAUCGCAAGACCUCGCGCGAUUGGAGCGGCCGAUAUCAGAUUAGCUAGUUGGUGAGGUAAAGGCCCACCAAGGCGACGAUCUGUAGCUGGUCUGAGAGGACGACCAGCCACACUGGAACUGAGACACGGGCCAGACUCCUACGGGAGGCAGCAGUGGGGAAUUUUGGACAAUGGGCGCAAGCCUGAUCCAGCAAUGCCGCGUGCAGGAUGAAGGCCUUCGGGUUGUAAACUGCUUUUGUACGGAGCGAAACGGUCUUUCCUAAUACGAGAGGCUAAUGACGGUACCGUAAGAAUAAGCACCGGCUAACUACGUGCCAGCCGCCGCAGUAA
RNAcentral lists this ribosomal RNA (500 nucleotides) under uncultured bacterium. RNAcentral describes it as "partial 16S ribosomal RNA". It matches the Rfam family "Bacterial small subunit ribosomal RNA", at positions 30 to 523 of the family's 1533-position model. The record is from RNAcentral.